Molecule: ribosomal RNA, 350 nt
Filed under: uncultured bacterium
Lineage: Bacteria
Description: bacterial SSU rRNA
Rfam family: Bacterial small subunit ribosomal RNA
Source: RNAcentral
GAUGAACGCUGGCGGUAUGCUUAACACAUGCAAGUCGAACGCCCUUCGGGGAGGUGGCGGACGGGUGAGUAACGCGUGAGAAUCUGCCUUCGGGUCGGGGACGAACCACCGGAAACAGUGGCUAAUACCGGAUGUGCCGAGAGGUAAAAGAUUUAUUGCCAGAAGAGGAGCUCGCGUCUGAUUAGCUAGUUGGUAGGGUAAAGGCCUACCAAGGCAACGAUCAGUAGCUGGUCUGAGAGGAUGAGCAGCCACACUGGGACUGAGACACGGCCCAGACUCCUACGGGAGGCAGCAGUGGGGAAUUUUUCCGCAAUGGGCGAAAGCCUGACGGAGCAAUACCGCGUGAGGGA